UGCACAGCAAGAGAAAAAGAACCUGGAAGAGAGGUCUCCAAGCUAGAGACCAGAGUCUGUUUUAGCCCCGUCGGCAAUCUUUGGCGUACUUUAUUCACUUCUCCAACAAUCUCAUCAUGCUCAGCUCUUUGGGCCUAUUCAGAAAAACCCAGGUUCCUUAGCCUUCCCUACUCCAGCCUGUGUGUGGCUAUGGUUAAGAUAUUAAUCUUAACCAUAGACCUGGGAAGUCACUUCUCUGGUCUAACUGAAGUCCUGCCUGGAGCACUGGAAGUGGAGAGAACCACCAUAUACCCAGAAGAACUGCAGAUGGGAAGGAGGCCAGAGGAAGGACCCUAUGAGGAAGGUUCUGAGGGAGGGCAGUUCUACCUCAGGUUCUCCUCCAUCCUCCUCUCUCCUGCCCCACUGGGUCUGUGGAGAUGAAGACCAUGGGACAGAGUGGUUCACACCCUGGAGAACUCUCUCUGCUUGGGCUUUAGGAUUCACAGGUGGUGGGGGGAGGGGAAGCUGAGUUCCAUCAAGGCCCUUGUUAUUGUCUUCUGUAGAGUGGGUAUAUUGGGGAGGGAAGAUGGGAUGCAGUGUUUGUCUCAGUCAGCCUGAGUCCUUCUGGUCUCACCCAGAGUCCCUUUGAAGCCAUUUUCUCUCCAGGCACCAAAAUCCAGUCCCUUAUAAGCUCCCAUGAUGAUACGUCCUCCUCUACUCCUCGGUCUCCACAAGUACAGCACCCUUUAUUGGGGGCUGAGAAUCACCAAAUUCUCCUGACUACCCCCCUCUGUUUCUGCUGCCACUGCUUAGACAUCUUGGCCAGGAGCCCUGGCUCUAUGGACUCAAGGUAGGGGGCUGUGUCCAGGCACCCUCCCUCUGAGGUACCAUUUCUCCCUUGCCUCAUUUGCUGCCACCCACCUUACUGAUUAAGUUAAGAGGUAUGCUCUGUACAGGACUCCAGCCUAGUGGAACUUGACUCUGGGAGCACAAGGACAAGGACUGGCUCCUCCUGCUCCCUCCCAAUUGACUGUCUUACAGUUUUUUCCCCUGCUGCCUAGCAUCCAUUUGAAAACAUCAGAUGGUUUUGACUUGAGAAUUCAUAGCAUAAUGGGUACCUUGAGAGGCCCCUAACAUGACCGGCAUUUGUUUCAGUCCUUUGCAGGAAGAGGCUAUAUCUGGUGCCUCUUCCAUUCUGGGGAAAGUGUGUGGGGGCUGCAACCAGAGGGUCUAGUGGGAAACUGCACAGUGAAUAAGGAGGCACAUGGGGUGAGGAAAAAAAAAAGGAGAUUUCUGUCUUUUCAGGUUUCCCCUAUGGGAUGAAAGUUGGAAGGAGGUUUUUGGAAGGUUGGCAUAUUUUUCUCAUCUUGUUAUAUAAGGAAGGAGUCCUGGAUUGGGGAAUGGCAGGGAAUUCAUGUGUGUGGGGGCUACAUGGAAGGGGGUAGGUAGGGGGGUGGCAUGCCUUUUUUCAUGCAUUUAUCCCAUCAGUUCACAAGUUUGCACAUUUGCUCCCCUCCCCCAAACUGUCUCUAUUCCAAUUAAUCAAUGCAUUCAAUCCAGUUACUAUCCUAUUUUAUAGCUCUUUAGCUACCAGGAGAGGGGAGGAAGUAAGGCUGGUCAGAACACUGGGGUCAUCAUACUGAAACCAGAAGUUCCCAGCUGAAGGUAAAGGCAACAGAACGGAGCCCUCUCCUGGUCUGAAGUUAGGUUUUUCCUUGUCCCUUCUAUCCUUACUUCUCUCUCCUUUCAGUGCUCACCUCCCUAGGAGACCCAGCUUUUGAGGUUAAAAAAAGGCCAGUGGCAGCAAGAAGGAUCUGGAGGAGGAGUCAGUAGGUCAGAAGAGGGAUGAAAGGGGCAAGGAGCAGUGAAGGGCCUGAGAGAGAGGAUCCCUGGGAAGAGAGAGGUGUGGACUCUGGAUGGCCCUUCCUCUCCAUGUGUACAGGGCUAUGGUGGGAGGGACUAAGAUUCAAUAUGGGAAAGUGCUUUGCUGUCAGGCAGUUUUGAGGAAGCUUUGUUAAUACAGGAAAGAGCAAAUUAUGAAGAGAAGUUCCUCUUGCAGCUCAUGAAAUAGGAAGAGAGAGGCAGGGGCCGUGGGACUCUGAGGGGCAGAGGGGUGUGUGUGCUGAAAGUGAGGGUGUGAACAGCAUAGUGUUUGUGGUGUACGUGUCUGUGCUCCGUGGUUAACAGUCCUGUGUGCAUUGUCAUGUGUGUAAACAUAUCACAUGAGGAAGGGUACAGCUUUGACAUGCUCACAAGUGAGGUGAGCAGGCUUCCCACUGGGGCCUAUAAAGUAUGCUUCUCUGUUAGGAGCAGCAGUCAGCACAAAAUGGGAAGACCUCUGUAUUGGCAAGCAAGAAAACGUGGGUUCCAGUUCUGGCUUUAGUUAUCAGUUGGGAUCCUGUGAAGCAUCACUUCGAAUGUUCCAGACAAGUAGAUACCUGACCAAGGGGGACCUCAAGUGACUUCCCAGAAUUUCCAGCAACUCCUAAUGGACAGACUGGGGAUGGAGAGGGCCAAGCCUCAGGGUCUGACAGUACAAGGAACCUGUUCCACACAACCAUCUUCUUCACAAGAGCACUUACAACUGCUGCUGCAGGUGCCUGGUCACCUGGCAUCCUCUGUGGGGAUCGCCUUCACAGCCUGCAGCACAGCUCUGACCAUCCUCACCAGAGGCACAUGCUUGUCCUUCAGGGUGGAUCUGAUUUUUAAAAACAGCCAAGUUUUCUCUGAGGCUGGAGAAUAAGUUGAGGACCUCGCCGGGAAGCAGUAUUUCCAGUUAAAUACAAGGUGAAUGUGGGCAGACAUAGUGGAGGAUGUGCCCUCCUCCAAAAUGGUUCUGAAAGGUCAUUGUGAAGGAGAUACUUUUGCAGCAUGUGACAGAAGGAGACAUUUCUGGUGGCCACUAGAGCCCAGAUUACUGUUCCUGUCUAUUUGUGAAAAACAGGUAUUUGUACUCGUGGGAGUUUUCCCAGCCUGGUACUGGAGGCAUGAAACCUGCAUUUGCCUGAAAUACUGGGACAAGUGGUCUUGCCCUUGGGGAGCUUACAGUCUCCUCCCUGCCAACUAAUAUGCAAAGUUACCCAAUGAUACUCACUCAACACGAAUCAAGUGCAAAGGACAAGGGGAAAUUCAGAAUCAAGUCAAGUUAGUUCAUCAGGGAAGGCUGCCUGGAGGAAAGGAGUUAUGAGUGGGCUGUAGGACAAACCCAACAGGACAUGGGGUGGAGGAGGAAAAGAAGAGAACUUCUCUCUUGAUUCUGAAACAGGAUGAGCAAACGAUAAGGCAGGUAGGAGACAGCUUUGUUGGCCUGGAAUAAAUACUUGGAUUGGAAAUCAGCAUGAUGUAUCAUCAGAGGCUGUGAGGAUGACUGAGCCUGGACUGCACAGGUUAGUGAGCCAUGGCUGGAGGUACUGCCAGGGCCAAGACAAGUGGGGAAGAGACCCCUGGGGAUCAGGAGAUAGAGAGGGACACAGGAUUGUGUGGAGGGGUAUUGGGAAGACUGAAGCCUUUCAGAUCUUCAUCCUGACUAUCCCCUCAUCCACCCCUUCCAUGGACUGAAUUCUGUAUUUUAAAGCUAAAGGAACUUCAGUAAAUGAUCUGGUUUAGCCUUUCAUAUUCAGAGUGUAAGGUAUGACUUCCCCACUUCCCAGAUGAGACCUCAACUUGGCCAAGCUCUCCUGGGCAGAACAUGCUGAGAAGGGCCCCAGGAGGCAGGUCUUUUGCCCUCUGGGGGUCACUUCUCCCUCACACAACAGGCCCCAAGCCUGGGUGCUUCCCAAGGCAGAACCUGCAGGAGGGGACACCACAGUGCAGUCCUUUGAUUCUUUGCUCCUCCCCUUACCAGCUCUGUGACUUGAAGCAAGUUACUUAACCUCUCUGUGCCAUGGUUUUAUUAUCUGUAAAAGAGACCUACUCUGUGUCCUAUUAUUGAGAAUAAAAUGAAAUUUAUACCACAGAA
Long non-coding RNA from Felis catus (domestic cat), 3937 nucleotides. RefSeq lists it as uncharacterized. NCBI's taxonomy places the organism in Eukaryota, Metazoa, Chordata, Mammalia, Carnivora, Felidae. The record is from RefSeq and is a predicted model, not a curated record. The transcript is spliced from 3 exons.